AUUGAACGCUGGCGGCAUGCUUUACACAUGCAAGUCGAACGGUAACAGGUUAAGCUGACGAGUGGCGAACGGGUGAGUAAUGCAUCGGAACGUGCCCGGUCGUGGGGGAUAACGCAGCGAAAGCUGCGCUAAUACCGCAUACGAUCUGAGGAUGAAAGCGGGGGACCGUAAGGCCUCGCGCGAUCGGAGCGGCCGAUGUCAGAUUAGCUAGUUGGUGAGGUAAAGGCUCACCAAGGCGACGAUCUGUAGCGGGUCUGAGAGGAUGAUCCGCCACACUGGGACUGAGACACGGCCCAGACUCCUACGGGAGGCAGCAGUGGGGAAUUUUGGACAAUGGGGGCAACCCUGAUCCAGCCAUGCCGCGUGAGUGAAGAAGGCCUUCGGGUUGUAAAGCUCUUUCGGCCGGGAAGAAAUCGCACAGGCUAAUACUCUGUGUGGAUGACGGUACCGGCAUAAGAAGCACCGGCUAACCACGUGCCAGCAGCCGCCGCCG
RNAcentral lists this ribosomal RNA (493 nucleotides) under uncultured bacterium. Its description in RNAcentral is "partial 16S ribosomal RNA". It matches the Rfam family "Bacterial small subunit ribosomal RNA", at positions 29 to 523 of the family's 1533-position model. The record is from RNAcentral.